Molecule: ribosomal RNA, 443 nt
Filed under: uncultured bacterium
Lineage: Bacteria
Description: partial 16S ribosomal RNA
Rfam family: Bacterial small subunit ribosomal RNA
Source: RNAcentral
CCUACGGGUGGCAGCAGUGGGGAAUAUUGGGCAAUGGGCGCAAGCCUGACCCAGCAACGCCGCGUGAACGAAGAAGGCUUUCGGGUUGUAAACUUCUUUUCUCAGGGACGAAGCAAGUGACGGUACCCGAAGAAUAACCCACGGCUAACUACGCGCCAGCAGCCGCGGUAAUACGGAGGUGGCAAGUGUUAUCCGGAUUUACUGGGUGUAAAGGUCGUGUAGGGGGGAAAGCAAGUCAGAUGUGAAAACCAUGGGCUCAACCUGUGGCCUGCAUUUGAAACUGGUUUUCUUGAGUGCUGGAGAGGCAGACGGAAUUCCUAGUGUAGCGGUGAAAUGCGUAGAUAUUAGGAGGAACACCAGUGGCGAAGGCGGUCUGCUGGACAGUAACUGACGCUGAGGCGCGAAAGCGUGGGGAGCAAACAGGAUUAGAUACCCGAGUAGUC